Molecule: ribosomal RNA, 465 nt
Filed under: Vreelandella stevensii
Lineage: Bacteria; Pseudomonadati; Pseudomonadota; Gammaproteobacteria; Oceanospirillales; Halomonadaceae
Description: partial 16S ribosomal RNA
Rfam family: Bacterial small subunit ribosomal RNA
Source: RNAcentral
CCUACGGGGUGCUGCAGUGGGGAAUAUUGGACAAUGGGCGAAAGCCUGAUCCAGCCAUGCCGCGUGUGUGAAGAAGGCCUUCGGGUUGUAAAGCACUUUCAGUGGGGAAGAAAGCCUUGGGGCUAAUACCCUCGAGGAAGGACAUCACCCACAGAAGAAGCACCGGCUAACUCCGUGCCAGCAGCCGCGGUAAUACGGAGGGUGCGAGCGUUAAUCGGAAUUACUGGGCGUAAAGCGCGCGUAGGCGGUCUGAUAAGCCGGUUGUGAAAGCCCCGGGCUCAACCUGGGAACGACAUCCGGAGAUGUCAGGAUAGCGGGCGAGAGAGGAAGGGAGAAUUCCGGGGGUAUGGGGGAACUGCGGAGAGAUCGGGAGGAAUAACAGUGUCGAAGGCGGCCUUCUGGACGGACACUGACGCUGAGGUGCGAGAGCGUGGAUAGCAAACAGGAUUAGAUACCCCAGUAGUC